RNAcentral lists this transfer RNA (73 nucleotides) under Synechococcus phage ACG-2014e. It matches the Rfam family "tRNA". Rfam says of the family: Transfer RNA (tRNA) molecules are approximately 80 nucleotides in length. Their secondary structure includes four short double-helical elements and three loops (D, anti-codon, and T loops). RNAcentral also lists the same sequence under 1 other name. The record is from Rfam by way of RNAcentral. Lineage: Duplodnaviria; Heunggongvirae; Uroviricota; Caudoviricetes; Pantevenvirales; Kyanoviridae.
GCUUCCUUAGCAAUCUGGUGAAUGCAGCAAACUCAUAAUUUGCCUAAGGAGAGUUCGAUCCUCUCAGGAAGCA